AAGAGAGCAGCAAGAACUGCUAACUCAUGCGCCCGGAAAUGACCCCCCGGCUCUCUU
Molecule: transfer RNA, 57 nt
Filed under: Orientallactaga sibirica (Mongolian five-toed jerboa)
Lineage: Eukaryota; Metazoa; Chordata; Mammalia; Rodentia; Dipodidae
Description: Allactaga sibirica (Mongolian five-toed jerboa) tRNA-Ser
Source: RNAcentral